UACGUGGGGCGCAAGCGUUAUCCGGAAUUAUUGGGCGUAAAGAGCUCGUAGGCGGUUUGUCGCGUCUGCCGUGAAAGUCCGGGGCUCAACUCCGGAUCUGCGGUGGGUACGGGCAGACUAGAGUGAUGUAGGGGAGACUGGAAUUCCUGGUGUAGCGGUGAAAUGCGCAGAUAUCAGGAGGAACACCGGUGGCGAAGGCGGGUCUCUGGGCAACAACUGACGCUGAGGAGCGAAAGCGUGGGGAGCGAACAGG
RNAcentral lists this ribosomal RNA (253 nucleotides) under uncultured bacterium. RNAcentral describes it as "partial 16S ribosomal RNA". It matches the Rfam family "Bacterial small subunit ribosomal RNA", at positions 524 to 776 of the family's 1533-position model. The record is from RNAcentral.